GUGUCAGCAGCCGCGGUAAUACGUAGGGCGCAAGCGUUGUCCGGAAUUAUUGGGCGUAAAGAGCUCGUAGGUGGCUUGUCACGUCGGGUGUGAAAGCUUGGGGCUUAACUCCAGGUCUGCAUUCGAUACGGGCUGGCUAGAGGUAGGUAGGGGAGAACGGAAUUCCUGGUGUAGCGGUGAAAUGCGCAGAUAUCAGGAGGAACACCGGUGGCGAAGGCGGUUCUCUGGGCCUUACCUGACGCUGAGGAGCGAAAGCGUGGGGAGCGAACAGGAUUAGAAACCCUGGUAGUCC
Molecule: ribosomal RNA, 292 nt
Filed under: uncultured bacterium
Lineage: Bacteria
Description: partial 16S ribosomal RNA
Rfam family: Bacterial small subunit ribosomal RNA
Source: RNAcentral